RNAcentral lists this long non-coding RNA (225 nucleotides) under Phascolarctos cinereus (koala). Its description in RNAcentral is "lncRNA (ENSPCIG00000024337.2)". The record is from RNAcentral. Lineage: Eukaryota; Metazoa; Chordata; Mammalia; Diprotodontia; Phascolarctidae.
CCAAGGCAGAUCACCUAUACUUAAUGUCAUCACCAAACUUCAUGUAGCCCUGGGACUUGCAGUUUACAGAUGAUGUAUAUCGGUCUUGCCUUCAAGGAUUGGGGUCAGCAACCUUUCUGAGGUGGGGCAGAACUUAGAAGAGAAGAGGAAGAGAGAGAAGAGAGGACCAAAAUAUCCAUUUUACAAAUGGUAGGGGUGGGCGGGGUGGGGUGGUCAACCAUUUAA